AAUACAUUGCACGUGGUAGCCGCAAAUAUACCAAGCCAAGUUUAGUGAAUCUACAACAUAGAUACAAUUUGGAAAUGGAAACCAAUAGGUUUCCACUGUUACAACGAUUAAAUGAUAUAUUGAAAGUGUAUUCACGUAUCUUGGAAGAAAACUGUCAUUGACAAUGGGUAUAAAAUAUGUACCGGUUUAUUGAGAGAAAUGGCGGCUUUGUUGAUAUGAAAAUGUUUACAAUUUUGGAAGUCUGGUCUGAUCGAAGGCAAACUUUGGAUUUAAGGAAAUUUCCCAUUUAAGGAGACUUCUGUCACGUCAUGAGGCUGUCCUAUACAAGAUUUUAGCUCAAUGAAAAGGUUAUGUGAGAUUGGCGAACCGCAGAGCGACCUACAUGAAGUACUCAUAGUACUCACUCAGUAUUCAGCUAAAUAUGUUGAUGUAUUAGCCAGGAUUCGACCGCGGGAGUUCUACGUUAUAUGCGGACAUUCUAAACUAUUAAACACAUUGGCUCACGUACUGCUUUAUCUGCCCAAGCAAUCAGGGUUUCCCCUGAUUAUAUAUGACCUUCUGUAAUUGUAAGCAUGAAGCAAAGGUGAAGAAUGAGCGAAAAAGCCCAAAUAUGGUGUUGAGGAGAUCACAUUUCUUUCCACAAUUUGUGCUAACAUCGGUGGAAUAAUCUGAUCUGACAACCAAAGGGGUGUACCAAAUUCAAGAUGCCAAUUACUGUUACUGCUAGAGGCUCAAAGGCGACAAUGCUACAUGUGUCGCAGCAAAAAAAAAUUUUAAUCAUAAACUGUUAAAAAUAAAUUGUAAUAAUAUGAAACAUA
Long non-coding RNA from Stomoxys calcitrans (stable fly), 818 nucleotides. RefSeq lists it as uncharacterized. The transcript is spliced from 3 exons. NCBI's taxonomy places the organism in Eukaryota, Metazoa, Arthropoda, Insecta, Diptera, Muscidae. The record is from RefSeq and is a predicted model, not a curated record.